CGCGUAGGCGGGCUAAUAAGUCAGUGGUGAAAUCUUCCGGCUCAACCGGGAACCUGCCAUUGAUACUGUUAGUCUUGAGUUCGGCUGAGGUAGGCGGAAUGUGUAAUGUAGCGGUGAAAUGCUUAGAUAUUACACAGAACACCAAUUGCGUAGGCAGCUUACUAGACCGACACUGACGCUGAGGCACGAAAGCGUGGGGAGCGAACAGGAUUAGAUACCCUGGUAGUCC
Molecule: ribosomal RNA, 229 nt
Filed under: uncultured bacterium
Lineage: Bacteria
Description: partial 16S ribosomal RNA
Rfam family: Bacterial small subunit ribosomal RNA
Source: RNAcentral